AAAUGAAUUGACGGGGGCCCGCACAAGCGGCGGAGCAUGUGGAUUAAUUCGAUGCAACGCGAAGAACCUUACCUGGGUUUGACAUACACCAGACGUAUGUAGAGAUACAUAUUCCCUUGUGGUUGGUGUACAGGUGGUGCAUGGCUGUCGUCAGCUCGUGUCGUGAGAUGUUGGGUUAAGUCCCGCAACGAGCGCAACCCUUGUCCUGUAUUGCCAGCACGUAAUGGUGGGGACUUGCAGGAGACUGCCGGGGUCAACUCGGAGGAAGGUGGGGAUGACGUCAAGUCAUCAUGCCCCUUAUGUCCAGGGCUUCACACAUGCUACAAUGGCGCGUACAGAGGGCUGCGAUACCGUGAGGUGGAGCGAAUCCCUUAAAGCGUGUCUCAGUUCGGAUUGGGGUCUGCAACUCGACCCCAUGAAGUCGGAGUCGCUAGUAAUCGCAGAUCAGCAACGCUGCGGUGAAUACGUUCCCGGGCCUUGUACACACCGCCCGU
RNAcentral lists this ribosomal RNA (494 nucleotides) under uncultured bacterium. RNAcentral describes it as "bacterial SSU rRNA". It matches the Rfam family "Bacterial small subunit ribosomal RNA", at positions 903 to 1397 of the family's 1533-position model. The record is from RNAcentral.